AACGAACGCUGGCGGCAUGCCUAACACAUGCAAGUCGAACGAGACCUUCGGGUCUAGUGGCGCACGGGUGCGUAACACGUGGGAAUUUGCCUCGGGGUAUGGAGUAACUCAGGGAAACUUGAGCUAAUACCAUAUAAUGUCUUCGGACCAAAGAUUUAUCGCCCUGAGAUAAGCCCGCGUAGGAUUAGCUAGUUGGUGGGGUAAAGGCUCACCAAGGCGACGAUCCUUAGCUGGUCUGAGAGGAUGAUCAGCCACACUGGGACUGAGACACGGCCCAGACUCCUACGGGAGGCAGCAGUGGGGAAGUAUUGGACAAUGGGCGGAAAGACCUGAGUCCAGCAAUAGCCGCCGU
Molecule: ribosomal RNA, 352 nt
Filed under: uncultured bacterium
Lineage: Bacteria
Description: bacterial SSU rRNA
Rfam family: Bacterial small subunit ribosomal RNA
Source: RNAcentral